CUUAUCCAAGGAUAGAACAGGCAGCUAUCACGCCCUUUGUGGUCUUAAAGAGAUACCGGAGUGUCACCCGGUUGGAUAAU
RNAcentral lists this non-coding RNA (80 nucleotides) under unclassified sequences. Its description in RNAcentral is "skipping-rope RNA". It matches the Rfam family "skipping-rope RNA". Rfam says of the family: Firmicutes, Fusobacteria, AlphaProteobacteria, Spirochaetes. The record is from Rfam by way of RNAcentral.